AGUAAAUAGCUGUAUUUUAUCAUUUUUUUGCAGAUAGAUCAGAAUGAUGCUAAUACUUGUUAGUUCUUUCUCUACGUGUUUUAUAGUGGGAAGAACUUCAGAGUCAAGUUUACAUGGGUUCAAAUCCUGGCUCCACUCCGUUGACUCACAUAGUGACAUAGCACCUUUCUGCGAGGCGUCCGGAAAACAUACAGUCCUCCAGUGAAGAUGACUCAGCCGUGCCAGGUCUCCUGGGGAGGAAUUCCUUCAAAAUCACUGGCUUUGAGGGAUGAUUAAGGACACGAUAGCAUGAAGAGUCAAGUGUCAUCUAAAGGUUAGGCUGAAGACUGUGAUAUUUUUAGAAUCAGAUAUAAUCUCAGAAUAGAGAAUAGGAA
RNAcentral lists this long non-coding RNA (374 nucleotides) under Mustela putorius furo (domestic ferret). RNAcentral's name for it is "lncRNA (ENSMPUG00000027799.1)". The record is from RNAcentral. Lineage: Eukaryota; Metazoa; Chordata; Mammalia; Carnivora; Mustelidae.